UGCCAAAGAGUCUGGAGCUCAGACAGCGC
This 29-nucleotide non-coding RNA is filed under the name Rattus norvegicus (Norway rat). The record is from RNAcentral. Lineage: Eukaryota; Metazoa; Chordata; Mammalia; Rodentia; Muridae.